UGGGGAAUAUUGCACAAUGGGCGCAAGCCUGAUGCAGCCAUGCCGCGUGUGUGAAGAAGGCCUUCGGGUUGUAAAGCACUUUCAGCGAGGAGGAAGGGUAGUGUGUUAAUAGCACAUUGCAUUGACGUUACUCGCAGAAGAAGCACCGGCUAACUCCGUGCCAGCAGCCGCGGUAAUACGGAGGUGCAAGCGUUAAUCGGAAUUACUGGGCGUAAAGCGCACGCAGGCGGUUUGUUAAGUCAGAUGUGAAAUCCCCGCGCUUAACGUGGAACUGCAUUGAAACUGG
RNAcentral lists this ribosomal RNA (286 nucleotides) under uncultured bacterium. RNAcentral describes it as "partial 16S ribosomal RNA". It matches the Rfam family "Bacterial small subunit ribosomal RNA", at positions 355 to 636 of the family's 1533-position model. The record is from RNAcentral.